Molecule: transfer RNA, 77 nt
Filed under: Chloroflexota bacterium
Lineage: Bacteria; Bacillati; Chloroflexota
Description: tRNA-Met
Rfam family: tRNA
About the family: Transfer RNA (tRNA) molecules are approximately 80 nucleotides in length. Their secondary structure includes four short double-helical elements and three loops (D, anti-codon, and T loops).
Source: RNAcentral
GGAUAUGUAGCUCAGUUGGUUAGAGCACAACUCUCAUAAAGUUGAGGUCGCUGGUUCAAUUCCAGCCAUAUCUACCA